ACCAGCAGCCCAGGCUGCCCAGAGCCACAUCCAGCCUGGAUUUGACUAUGUUUAACAUUGAAAAAGAUGAACAGUGAGUGAAGUGGUGUCUGCUUUGGUGUUCAACACACCAGGGUGUAGGGGAGAUUUCAGAGCAGCAGCACCAACAUGGCAUGGUGUCAUCUUGUGCAUACAGCAGUGAAGAUGUGACAUGUUUCCCUCAGUCCCCUGGCUCAGGUGCUCACAGCCAGGUGGGCAGGCUGCCUUGUGGCUUGGAUGGAACAGCUUUAUCUGUGUCGUUAACCACAAAAUAUGAAAGUGAGCAGGAGAUAAAUAGCAUGAAAUACCAAACCUCUCGUGGCAUAUGAGGAAAUCCCAGCAUGGAUCCUUAUUUCUCUCAGGACACACAACUGCUCUCUCCUGUUGUUUCUCCCUUCCCCUCAACACAACAAAAGCAAACAAAACAAGAAGCCUUUGGCACUAAGCAGAACCAGAUGAGGUGCGGGACUGGUGGAGCUGCUCUCUUCCUGGUCUCUGUGCAGCGCAGCUUUCGCUGCUGCAAGGCAUGUGCUGUGUGUGACUCAGUGCAGCUUGUUUUACCACCAGGAACAAGGCAGCCUUGCAGUGCAGCGACUGGUAAAGAGGAAACCAGUGGUUAUGCCUGGAACGAGGAAAUCACUGUUGUAAUUGGUACGUAAUGAGUAUUGUAUUCCUGCCGCUAAGGUUUUGAAAGUAACAGUAGGCCUUACAAAGGGAUAUUUACUAUGCCACCCAGAAACAUUGAGCAGAGAGAAACAUGAAACAUCGUGUUUACAGACAUACACAAACUUAUCCCAGCGUCUCACAGCUUGCAAGGCAAAUGCAAGAUCUGUUUGGUAUCUUCUGCAGAAUCAUUGCGUUCUGAGGAGCUCCUCAGCUUGUGUUAACAAAGUCACCAAAUCCCGCACGUUCUGCCACUUCUGAGGCAUUGUUAGGCCAGCCAGAAAAACAAGAAUCACAGAACAUGAAAACUGUGGGAUUUUAAUUCAGAGCCCAGAACGGUGCAGGAAUUUUCCUAAAGUGGAACCUGUGAAAAACUGCCCCGGCAGCGUGGGGUGCUCCCUUUCCUUCUAAAACCUUCCUUGUUCUGCUGAAUUUUACCUUAAGGUUAGAAGUGGAGCUGCUUUCUAAAAACGCAUUUGCAUGCAUCAGUUGAAGUAAGAAACCAGGAAAUACGCAGAACAGAAAUACUCUAAAAGCUGCGUGCUUCCCUAUAACAUCACAGCAAGCGCUGCUUUCUGGAACAGUAGUCCAGAUAAAGUCAUUUGUCACGCUGAUAAAAACGGCAGCAUUUUUCCUGCCCACCCAGUUCUGGGGCUGAUAGGAUUUGGUUCAGCCUGAUCUGAAGCAGCAGAGUGGGAAAGGCAUCUUUCAUGUGUAGAGCUCAUCAGAGGCAAGAGAAAAACAAGUGUCUCUCAACACCAUUGCUUUUAUUCUAGAGACAGAAAUAUUAGCUUGGUUCCAAGAAAAGUGAAAAGGAAAAGGAAAGUGUCACAUUGACAAUGAAUAGUGCAGAGGCGGUGCAGUUUGUACUGUAUUCUCUGUGCAUAAAUUCCCGAUAACAUAAGUUUUUAGUCUUCUCUUGUCAUUUAUGCAGUGAACAUACAGAUGUAGAAGUGUAUCCAAGCUUCAAGUUUCUGUAGUUCCUUGCAAAGGGCUUUUUUAAACAUGCAGAAGGCUCUUAUAAUGCAGACAUGGAUCUGGUACAGUAUUAUUCCCUGGAAAGGUGGGAGAAGUUUGCAAAGUUUGCUUUCUUACACAUUCAGCUUCUCCCCACUUAGUUUUUUUCGAUCACAGUCAAACCUUUCUUGAAAGAGUGAAGAGCAUGUUUCCCUUUGAGGUGGGUGGUGUGGUGCAUCCCAAAGCCUGCCUUGGGAAGACACCACUUUAAGGAUGUGAACUCAAAUGAUGGAGAGCCAGGAGCAGGCAGGGGUAAAGAGAGACAUUAGUUCAAUUAUAAAAGGCAUUUCUGGAUGUUCAGUACUUGUGUCUCACUGUGAGUAAUCCCAGUCACACCCCUGGAAGCUUUUGUUUCACACUGACUUGAGCUUCAUACAGCUGUGUCUGAUUACAUAUUCCUGAAGCUGGAUGUGUAGAGCCUUCUCCUCGUGUCCUGAGCUCGGGUUUGGUGUACAGACAUAACAGCACCUGUCUGCAAAACUAAGCUUCAUUAAGAUGGAAAGGAAAUGCUAGUGAUGCAUACAUGGCAACCAGCAGGUCAGGAGAGUUGGUAUGCAGAGGAAUGGGAGCAGCUGAAAAUAGCUGAAAAUAAGAAAAGAACAGAAAAGGAAACGAUCUCUGAAGUAGAAGCACAGAGGACUCUGCUCCUGAGGACUGGUUCAUAUCCCAGCUCCACACAGCCGAGUGCUCCGACCGGGGACUGGUGCGAUAGCAUCUCACUGUACAGAUUCCGUAAUUAAUUUUAAUUUCUUUAAUUAAGUAUUUAGUCUUUGGGGAAGGAGUAUGAAAAAGUUGUUUCAUAAACUGACAAUGGGCAAUUGUUCUAAGUUUCUUAUCCUGCAGGCAAGCAGGAUAAUGAGAGCUAUAGAAAUACUUGGGCAGAUUGAUUGCACGGAGCAGAUAGGAAUCCCCUGGCACAGUCCUCUCAUCUGUUUGCAAAGUAACAGGCACCUCCCAGCUCUUCCAGUGAACAUCACUGUUACCCCGUGCUGCAAGUAGUUAAACCAGCUUUGAGUGCAGCUACUGGGGGACAACACUGAAAUUAAAGAAAUACAGAAGAAAAUGGACAAAUGGGUCUGAGUUCCACUCUGUUGUGAGCAGGACCAAAAAGCAGCUCACAGAAAAAAUCUGGAGACAUCGAUGAGUUCAGAUUCAAGGGCAGACCCAGAGAUUUGUAUCCAGAUGUAUUUUCCCUGCAUAUGUGGAAGAAAUCUUUACAGACUGACUCAGAAACCGUCCUGUAUGAUACCAUGUGCAUGUGUCAGACCAGGAGGUGACUGAGAUAAUGGCUACUAAUCACAUUUAUUGGACUCCUUGCAUUCAGUGUGUGGGGGCUUCACUCCACUACAGUUCCUCCACAAAGACAAAUCCUCAUUUGAAGCCUUACAGCUUGGGUAGUUAAAGUGGCUGCUGACUCAACCUCAUCCCUUCAUCAAACAUUACAUCAACAGACAGCAGAAACUGGGGAAAUAAUGUUAUCAAAAGUCUAAUAUCGAAACUCCCAAUACUUUACCAAACUCACAUAAAAUAAAAUGACAUAAAAGAAAGCCAACAGAUGUAGUGUCAUAUGGACUUGCUUAAUGGCAAUGCUUAGCCUUUCAGAAAAAGGUUUACAUCUACAUUUACUACUGAAACCUGGCAUUUAUAUUGAAUAAUUCAUAAGUUGUUGCUUUCUGUGCUUUGCUGCUUUCCUUAUAUGCAUGAACCGAAAUAACGUUAUCUCUGCUCUAAGGGGAGGAGAUCAAUCUGUACAUAUGCAGAUAUUUUUGUCAUUGUUCUGUAGUGUAUAAAUACGCAUUUAACUGAACCGGUGCUAAAAUUUCAUCUUUGCUUAUGACAGAAAUGCUCUGUACAGAUUUCAUUUGCAACACGACUGUGCUUCCAACUAAUUCUCCCAAGACUCUCCCAGGUAUUUUGGCAACAGUCGCAUGUAGUUUGGGCACGUGUUUCCAUGCCUACAUGUGCCUCAUUUUAAGACAAACUCAUCCCUCUUCACUCUUAGCACAGCUGCAAAUGAGAUCGCUGCCAGGGCUUCUCCACCCUUCCACCUUUUACCUGUGACCUCAGCACAGAAAGGAUUUGAAGAUACCCUUGGAUUCAGGAUCUGCACAGAACCUCAGCAAAUGGGAGUUCCUAGGAGUGAGUUCCUUCCUAAAGCUCGCAGAGCAGCCUGGGCCAGUCCCUGACUUAUUCACACACCUGGAGACAGAGCCCUGUUCUGCAUCCUGCCUUGAAGACUUCACCGAUGAACCAAUAGCCACAAACUCAAAGCACAGGUUUCCUGCUUGAAUCCCCCUCACACACCCAGUGCUCGUCACCUGUACUGCAGUUCUUCUCUCUGCACUGACUGCCUUCCUCUGGGCUGGAACACAAAAGAAGACUUUGUGAAACCUGUCACCAUUUCUGGGGGUAAAUGUUCACUUUUUGUCCCUCAGAAGCAGAGAGGAACUUCCAGGACUGAUCACAGAUCAUGUUCAAGCCUGCAGCAGAGGUUGGUGCGACUUUCUGGGUACCAGUGCAUGGGCAGCACGUGGCAGCAGCACUGACAGUGGCAGCAAACAGCUCCAGGUCUGACCUCUGCAUCUGAGCAUGGAGCAGGUACGUGUUGGCUCUCUGCGUUCCCCACCAACCCCAGCCCCCAGCGCACACGGCUGCCGCAUCACCACCACUGGCUUUUUGGGAGCCUCCAGUGUUCUUCCAAAGCCUUCUAGACAUUGGUUUGAGCUGAGCUUGCAGUGAAUUUGGAGCUAAGUUACCUGUUUGUGUUUUGGGUUUUGUAAAUCAGCACUGAACUGAAGGCACUCCGUUACCGGGUUCUCAGGGCAUCCUGCAGUGUGAGGGCUUGCUGCUGGUGCUGAUGGCCGUGUCCUGGUGUGGCUCUGUGCCUGGAUUCCACCAGCUAAAGCCUCAGCAGCCGCCAGCUCCCAACUUACCUGCAGAUGCUACCCGCGUUCAUGUGGACAAACUAAGGGUUGGACCCAGGCUUGUGGGCUGAGCUGCAAACUCACUUGGCUUCAGUGCCUUUAACUGAAUGUUAUCACAGUCGGUUUCUAUUGAAUUGGAGAGCGGUGCCCAUGGCCUGAUAUAAGCCUGGGCAUCCCGUGGUACUUGGCGUUUUGCAGUGAGAGGAGACAGUCCCUGCCCCGAAGAGAACAUCACAGGAACUUUUUUUUCUGGUGAUUUAAUCAUAAUAUUGACAACUUUAUCAAAAAUUACAAAACUGAUAUUAAAAAAAUUUCUAAUUCUUAGUAAGUCUAGAAUGGGUUUCUUUUUUUAAAAAUAGAAAAGCACUUUUAUGCUACUGCUCUUCUGGAAUUCUCACAUUACAACCCUACAUAGCAAAAUACAAAUGUAGCUAAGAAAGGUAGCAGGCCUAAGGUACUUCAGUCCACCACGAGCCCUCUAACAACUUCUAUACCAUCAAACUCAGGGACUCCAAAAGGGUAUCACAGUACGUAGAAACCUUCUGCAGAACUCAGCUAGGAAAUGCCUGGUAAUGUUACGUUCCUUCUAACCCCGAAAUCCUUAGACUGUGAGUAUGAGACCUGGGACAGCAGAGGUGGGAAUCAGUAUUACUUUUUUCCCUCUGUGAAUAUUUACUUUUGCAGCUGAUUCCAACCAAACAUUCUCUGCAAGAAGUGAAAAUACGAAGAAAAUCCAUCGAAACGAAUGAAAAACAUUAUUAUUAUUAUUAUUAUUUUUAUGGUGUUCACAAAACGCACCAUAACAGUAAUGAGGAAGAUUUCCUUUCAUCGCAACGCCCCAACCGCGCCGGCACCGCGGAGUGGAGGAGCAAUAAAUAAAUAAAUAGUGGGAGCCACGGCGCCGCGGGGCGAUUCUGUGUCACUGUGCCACGGACGGACAAAAGCCUCUCCUUCCACUUCCCACAAUGGAGUAGGUUUUUUUUUUCCUUUUUUCUUUUUUUUUUUCCUUUUUUUUUUUUCACCUUUUAAAUAUAGGAAUUCUCUCUUAAAUUAGAAAGUAGGCAAAAAGUAUUAUUAAUUAUUAUUAUUAUUAUUAUUUUAAAGUUUCAUUUUAAGUCUUCUAUUAGAAAAAAUAGAGAUUUAUUAAACAAAAAAUAAUAAGGUAGAAAGAAGGGUUGGGCCUCCAUCAAAAAAGUAUAUUAUGCUUUAAUGCAAAGAGAAAGAAAUGGCUCUAUGGGCAAAAUUCAAGUACGAGUGACCAGUUUUUUAAUCGUAAAGUAGGUGCAACAUUUCUUAAAAUGUUCCAACACCGCAUGACCUGUAAUGCUCACAAUAUUUACAUUAACUGCUUACAUGAAACCAGGAAAGCUCUAAAAGAGGAAAAAAAAAAUGGUAUGGACUGAAACAAACUACUCCUAGCACCCACAGCAAUGUCAUCAUUAACCAAUGAAAUCAAGUGCACAAAAAUACUUUACAUAGUCUACCGAUGUAAAGUAUACAUUGGUGAGGAAGUACAAACCUAAGGAGUUAGAUGCCAAAAGAAGGUUGCUCGAUACAAACUCCACUCUAGGACAGAAAGCAAAGGCAGAACCCAACCGAACGGAACCAGGCACGCACACAGGCAUGUGGACACCCGCGGCGUGGGCAUCCGACACAGGAGGGACACGCGGCAGCAAAGCAGGCUGCGAUGGGGAUGGACAACGUCAACUCUUGGAACAGAACAAACACAUCAACUUGGAACAUAAAAAUGCCGACUACGCUACACAAAAAAAAUCACUCCACAUGAGUCUGCAUGUAGGACCGUGGUGUUACACACAUGACAAAUGAACCUACCCCGCGGAAGGAAGGGCUCCUGCUCCAGGCCCCUGUAGCCAGUGUAGCUAUUGCAAUCCCUCGGGCUGGGGAAGGAGGAGAAAGAGCUGUUUGGUGAGACACGAGGAAGCGGUGAGCCUGGAGGGACUGCUCUGCGCUGGAGCCCUGGGGGCUGGGGUCCUCAGGGCCAGCUGGCCUCUGCCACGGGCUGCAUGCAGGGCUGCUGCUCCCGGAGCCAACGGGACGCCGACUGCUGCCAGUGCUGGGCCAGGGGAAGACAGAGGGGGGCCCUGGCUGUGCCCGGGGGCCACAGCGGUGAGCUGGGAGCUAUUUCAGGAAGCCCUGAGGACAGAGGGUGUCACUGCUUCCAUCGCCAUCACCACCAUCCAUGUGAAAAAUGUAUGAGCUAGAAUGGAAAUAACGUUGUGCUACGCUUCCGUUCGUUAAUUUAUAAUGGCUCAUAGCUUUAGACUUUUAAAUCUGUAGUGUAUUAAUUUCUUCUACAUUUGUUUCACAUUUCUCACUUAAUAUAACAUAAAUAAUUUGGUUAAUAGAUUUAACCUGCACAUUUCAGCCACAUUAAUAUAUAUAAGAAAUCUGUUAAUGGUAUAAAUAAUUCUUUUUAAAUAAAAUAAAUCUGAUAUGUUACAUAAUACUGAUAAAAAUUACUGUUGCUAAUAGUUCUGUAAGCCACCCCUGAUUUUCUGUUUCAGGACUGUGAGAUGGGUCUGGGAUUACCUCUCCGAGCGCUGGGAGCACGCCGUGCCUUCUGCAAAACCAAUCUGCAGCCAGCACCAAUCGUGUGCUGGAGCACCAUUAACAGCCAACGCGAUGCUUUACCAUGUCAGGUAAUUGCAGCUAAUCCACCUAGGUGCUCGGAGGUCAGGGUUACUGGGGGUAGAAACUCUUUAGUUUAGCAAGUGGCUAUGAAACCUUAACUACAGAAAUAGCUGACUAAAAUAGCCCAUCUACUUUUUCCUUAAUAAAAUCUACACCCUCCUACUUUAAAAGUUAAGUAAAUAAAAAUGCAACCAACAGUUGCAGCCUUUGAAUCGUUACUUAGAGCUGUGAUCCCACGUCCCGUUAGGAAUCUGCAAGGUUGCACUCUCCUACAGAGACCUGAAAUGGAGUACAGUACUUCCAGGCAAGGUUCAUUCCAAACAGACAGGAUAAAUGGACACUCAGUGGCGUGAAGUGUAUGUCAUAAUUAAGGUAUUACAUAAUCAUGCCUUCUCUCUGCUGUUAAAUACAAAAACAGCAUCUUUUACAUUAUCAUAUAAAAGCAUUUAGGCUGUAUUUUUAUUUAUCACUUUACACUGGUAGUCUCUUGUAUGUGUACUCAAUAGAAACCAAAGAAUUUUGUACACUAUUUUUUUUUUUUUUGUA
Non-coding RNA from Coturnix japonica (Japanese quail), 7820 nucleotides. Lineage: Eukaryota; Metazoa; Chordata; Aves; Galliformes; Phasianidae. The record is from RefSeq and is a predicted model, not a curated record.